This 253-nucleotide ribosomal RNA is filed under the name uncultured bacterium. Its description in RNAcentral is "partial 16S ribosomal RNA". It matches the Rfam family "Bacterial small subunit ribosomal RNA", at positions 524 to 776 of the family's 1533-position model. The record is from RNAcentral.
UACGAAGGGGGCGAGCGUUGUUCGGAUUUACUGGGCGUAAAGAGCGUGUAGGCGGCCAGGUAGGUCGGUUGUGAAAACUGGAGGCUCAACCUUCAGACGUCGACCGAAACCAUCUGGCUAGAGUCCGGGAGAGGAGAGUGGAAUUCCUGGUGUAGCGGUGAAAUGCGCAGAUAUCAGGAAGAACACCCGUGGCGAAAGCGGCUCUCUGGAACGGUACUGACGCUGAGACGCGAAAGCGUGGGGAGCGAACAGG